UGCAACCUGCGACGACUGGGAGCUGGAGGAGGAAGAGGAGAAUCAGCUCAGCGCCGGCUCCUGGAGAUAUUAAUGAAACGAGGCGUCAGGCGGAUCCUCGGUGAGAGGAGGUGUAUUUACUGAGGCUGUCAGGACGGAGAGAUGGAGUCCAAACUACUGGAAGAUGGGUGAUCAUCUCCGCCUGUCAAGCUGAUCAUCAAUGAUCAGGUGUUGGAGAGUUUGUGGGGCUUCAAGGCUGAGACCAGCAGCAACCCUAUGAAAAUCCAGAGCGUCAGAAAUCAUCUGGAAGAAGUUGAAUCAAACAGCACCAUAAAACCGAGAGCAGCUGAGGAACGAUGACAUCCAGCUGAGGAUCGCCCCAUCACUAUUUUAUGGCAUAUAUAUGUUCUUCUGAAACUGGACCAGGCGGACCCUGGUGACAUUCUCCAAGUCCAUGUCUCCGUUGGUGCUGUCUGGGGAGUCUCCGUUCAG
Long non-coding RNA from Epinephelus moara (kelp grouper), 471 nucleotides. RefSeq lists it as uncharacterized. The transcript is spliced from 5 exons. The record is from RefSeq and is a predicted model, not a curated record. NCBI's taxonomy places the organism in Eukaryota, Metazoa, Chordata, Actinopteri, Perciformes, Serranidae.